CCUACGGGAGGCAGCAGUGGGGAAUCUUGCGCAAUGGGCGAAAGCCUGACGCAGCAACGCCGCGUGCGGGAAGAAGGCUUUCGGGCUGUAAACCGCUUUCAGCAGGAACGAAAAUGACGGUACCUGCAGAAGAAGGAGCGGCCAACUAUGUGCCAGCAGCCGCGGUGAUACAUAGGCUUCAAGCGUUGUCCGGAUUUAUUGGGCGUAAAGAGUUCGUAGGCGGUCGAGUAAGUCGGGUGUGAAAAUUCUGGGCUCAACCCAGAGACGCCACCCGAUACUGCUUGACUUGAGUUCGAUAGGGGAGUGGGGAAUUCCUAGUGUAGCGGUGAAAUGCGCAGAUAUUAGGAGGAACACCGGUGGCGAAGGCGCCACUCUGGAUCGAUACUGACGCUGAGGAACGAAAGCAUGGGUAGCAAACAGGAUUAGAUACCCUGGUAGUCCAUGCCGUAAACGGUGGGCACUAGGUGUGGGUUUCUAUUAACGAAAUCCGCGCCGUCGCUAACGCAUUAAGUGCCCCGCCUGGGGAGUACGGUCGCAAGACUAAAACUCAAAGGAAUUGACGGCUGAGACGNGCGAGCGACGACGAGGAGAGG
Molecule: ribosomal RNA, 593 nt
Filed under: uncultured bacterium
Lineage: Bacteria
Description: bacterial SSU rRNA
Rfam family: Bacterial small subunit ribosomal RNA
Source: RNAcentral